GGCGAGAUAGCUCAGUUGGUAGAGCAGCGGACUGAAAAUCCGCGUGUCGACGGUUCGAUUCCGCCCCUGGCCACCA
Molecule: transfer RNA, 76 nt
Filed under: Rhodocyclaceae bacterium
Lineage: Bacteria; Pseudomonadati; Pseudomonadota; Betaproteobacteria; Rhodocyclales; Rhodocyclaceae
Description: tRNA-Phe
Rfam family: tRNA
About the family: Transfer RNA (tRNA) molecules are approximately 80 nucleotides in length. Their secondary structure includes four short double-helical elements and three loops (D, anti-codon, and T loops).
Source: RNAcentral